Molecule: ribosomal RNA, 206 nt
Filed under: uncultured fungus
Lineage: Eukaryota; Fungi
Description: partial large subunit ribosomal RNA
Source: RNAcentral
CUUUUUCCUAGGGUUGGCCAACAUCAGUUUCGAUCACUAUAAAAUGACUGGCGGAAUGUAGCUUCGAUUUCGGUUGAAGUGUUAUAGCCUCUGGUAGAUGUGGUGAUUGGGACUGAGGAUUGCAACGAAUAUCCUUUGGGCUAUCCGUCUGGCCUCUGAAAGUUGCUUGGGUGCUGAAAGCUUGCUUAUGGUUAUCUAAGUUAACG